This 2755-nucleotide ribosomal RNA is filed under the name Klebsiella pneumoniae. RNAcentral describes it as "bacterial LSU rRNA". It matches the Rfam family "Bacterial large subunit ribosomal RNA". The record is from RNAcentral. Lineage: Bacteria; Pseudomonadati; Pseudomonadota; Gammaproteobacteria; Enterobacterales; Enterobacteriaceae.
ACUAUCGUUAACUGAAUACAUAGGUUAACGAGGCGAACCGGGGGAACUGAAACAUCUAAGUACCCCGAGGAAAAGAAAUCAACCGAGAUUCCCCCAGUAGCGGCGAGCGAACGGGGAGCAGCCCAGAGUCUGAAUCAGCUUGUGUGUUAGUGGAACGGUCUGGAAAGUCCGACGGUACAGGGUGAUAGUCCCGUACACCAAAAUGCACAGGCUGUGAACUCGAAGAGUAGGGCGGGACACGUGGUAUCCUGUCUGAAUAUGGGGGGACCAUCCUCCAAGGCUAAAUACUCCUGACUGACCGAUAGUGAACCAGUACCGUGAGGGAAAGGCGAAAAGAACCCCGGCGAGGGGAGUGAAAAAGAACCUGAAACCGUGUACGUACAAGCAGUGGGAGCACCUUCGGGUGUGACUGCGUACCUUUUGUAUAAUGGGUCAGCGACUUAUAUUCUGUAGCAAGGUUAACCGUAUAGGGGAGCCGCAGGGAAACCGAGUCUUAACUGGGCGUUAAGUUGCAGGGUAUAGACCCGAAACCCGGUGAUCUAGCCAUGGGCAGGUUGAAGGUUGGGUAACACUAACUGGAGGACCGAACCGACUAAUGUUGAAAAAUUAGCGGAUGACUUGUGGCUGGGGGUGAAAGGCCAAUCAAACCGGGAGAUAGCUGGUUCUCCCCGAAAGCUAUUUAGGUAGCGCCUCGUGAACUCAUCUUCGGGGGUAGAGCACUGUUUCGGCUAGGGGGUCAUCCCGACUUACCAACCCGAUGCAAACUACGAAUACCGAAGAAUGUUAUCACGGGAGACACACGGCGGGUGCUAACGUCCGUCGUGAAGAGGGAAACAACCCAGACCGCCAGCUAAGGUCCCAAAGUCAUGGUUAAGUGGGAAACGAUGUGGGAAGGCACAGACAGCCAGGAUGUUGGCUUAGAAGCAGCCAUCAUUUAAAGAAAGCGUAAUAGCUCACUGGUCGAGUCGGCCUGCGCGGAAGAUGUAACGGGGCUAAACCAUGCACCGAAGCUGCGGCAGCGACACUAUGUGUUGUUGGGUAGGGGAGCGUUCUGUAAGCCUGCGAAGGUGACCUGUGAGGGUUGCUGGAGGUAUCAGAAGUGCGAAUGCUGACAUAAGUAACGAUAAAGCGGGUGAAAAGCCCGCUCGCCGGAAGACCAAGGGUUCCUGUCCAACGUUAAUCGGGGCAGGGUGAGUCGACCCCUAAGGCGAGGCCGAAAGGCGUAGUCGAUGGGAAACAGGUUAAUAUUCCUGUACUUGGUGUUACUGCGAAGGGGGGACGGAGAAGGCUAUGUUAGCCGGGCGACGGUUGUCCCGGUUUAAGCAUGUAGGCUGGUUGUCCAGGCAAAUCCGGAUAAUCAAGGCUGAGGUGUGAUGACGAGGCACUACGGUGCUGAAGUAACAAAUGCCCUGCUUCCAGGAAAAGCCUCUAAGCAUCAGGUAACAUCAAAUCGUACCCCAAACCGACACAGGUGGUCAGGUAGAGAAUACCAAGGCGCUUGAGAGAACUCGGGUGAAGGAACUAGGCAAAAUGGUGCCGUAACUUCGGGAGAAGGCACGCUGGUGUGUAGGUGAAGUCCCUGCGGAUGGAGCUGAGACCAGUCGAAGAUACCAGCUGGCUGCAACUGUUUAUUAAAAACACAGCACUGUGCAAACACGAAAGUGGACGUAUACGGUGUGACGCCUGCCCGGUGCCGGAAGGUUAAUUGAUGGGGUUAUCCGUAAGGAGAAGCUCUUGAUCGAAGCCCCGGUAAACGGCGGCCGUAACUAUAACGGUCCUAAGGUAGCGAAAUUCCUUGUCGGGUAAGUUCCGACCUGCACGAAUGGCGUAAUGAUGGCCAGGCUGUCUCCACCCGAGACUCAGUGAAAUUGAACUCGCUGUGAAGAUGCAGUGUACCCGCGGCAAGACGGAAAGACCCCGUGAACCUUUACUAUAGCUUGACACUGAACAUUGAGCCUUGAUGUGUAGGAUAGGUGGGAGGCUUUGAAGCGUGGACGCCAGUCUGCGUGGAGCCAACCUUGAAAUACCACCCUUUAAUGUUUGAUGUUCUAACGUUGGCCCCUUACCGGGGUUGCGGACAGUGUCUGGUGGGUAGUUUGACUGGGGCGGUCUCCUCCCAAAGCGUAACGGAGGAGCACGAAGGUUAGCUAAUCCUGGUCGGACAUCAGGAGGUUAGUGCAAUGGCAUAAGCUAGCUUGACUGCGAGCGUGACGGCGCGAGCAGGUGCGAAAGCAGGUCAUAGUGAUCCGGUGGUUCUGAAUGGAAGGGCCAUCGCUCAACGGAUAAAAGGUACUCCGGGGAUAACAGGCUGAUACCGCCCAAGAGUUCAUAUCGACGGCGGUGUUUGGCACCUCGAUGUCGGCUCAUCACAUCCUGGGGCUGAAGUAGGUCCCAAGGGUAUGGCUGUUCGCCAUUUAAAGUGGUACGCGAGCUGGGUUUAGAACGUCGUGAGACAGUUCGGUCCCUAUCUGCCGUGGGCGCUGGAGAAUUGAGGGGGGCUGCUCCUAGUACGAGAGGACCGGAGUGGACGCAUCACUGGUGUUCGGGUUGUCAUGCCAAUGGCACUGCCCGGUAGCUAAAUGCGGAAGAGAUAAGUGCUGAAAGCAUCUAAGCACGAAACUUGCCCCGAGAUGAGUUCUCCCUGAGACUUUAAGUCUCCUGAAGGAACGUUGAAGACGACGACGUUGAUAGGCCGGGUGUGUAAGCGCAGCGAUGCGUUGAGCUAACCGGUACUAAUGAACCGUGAGGCUUAACC